CCUACGGGUGGCAGCAGUAGGGAAUAUUGCUCAAUGGGGGAAACCCUGAAGCAGCAACGCCGCGUGGAGGAUGAAGGUUUUCGGAUUGUAAACCUCUUUUGUUAGAGAAGAUAAUGACGGUAUCUAACGAAUAAGCACCGGCUAACUCCGUGCCAGCAGCCGCGGUAAUACGGAGGGUGCAAGCGUUACACGGAUUCACUGGGCGUAAAGGGCGCGUAGGCGGGAUAGCAAGUCAGAUGUGAAAUCCUAUGGCUUAACCAUAGAACUGCAUUUGAAACUGUUAUUCUAGAGUGUGGGAGAGGUAGGUGGAAUUCUUGGUGUAGGGGUAAAAUGCGUAGAUAUCAAGAGGAAUGCUCAUUGCGAAGGCGACCUGCUAGAACAUAACUGACGCUGAGGCGCGAAAGCGUGGGGAGCAAACAGGAUUAGAUACCCCAGUAGUC
RNAcentral lists this ribosomal RNA (440 nucleotides) under uncultured bacterium. RNAcentral describes it as "partial 16S ribosomal RNA". It matches the Rfam family "Bacterial small subunit ribosomal RNA", at positions 338 to 795 of the family's 1533-position model. The record is from RNAcentral.